Molecule: long non-coding RNA, 1752 nt
Organism: Oncorhynchus keta (chum salmon)
Lineage: Eukaryota; Metazoa; Chordata; Actinopteri; Salmoniformes; Salmonidae
Exons: 3
Source: RefSeq, a predicted model, not a curated record
CAGCUUUGAAGUGUUUCACCCUGGGCGUUGACACAGCUUUGAAGUGAUUGGGUUUGACCCUAGGUGUUGAUGCACAUCAUUCACCCAACUUCCCUUAUGCACUAUGUACUUUCUGCAUGCUCCUCCCCUAUCAAGGUGUUUUGGUACUUCCCUUGAGGCAGGUAUCCUAGCGGUUAGAGUGUAGGGGGCGUAGGUAUCCUAGUGGUUAGAGUGUAGGGGAGGCAGGUUUCCUAGUGGUUAGAGUGUAGGGGCGGCAGGUAUCCUAGUGGUUAGAGUGUAGGGGAGGCAGGUAUCCUAGUGGUUAGAGUGUAGGGGCGGCAGGUAUCCUAGUGGUUAGAGUGUAGGGGUGGCAGGUAGCCUAGUGGUUAGAGUGUAGGGGAGGCAGGUAGCCUAGUGGUUAGAGUGUAGGGGAGGCAGGUAGCCUAGUGGUUAGAGUGUAGGGGCGGCAGGUAUCCUAGUGGUUAGAGUGUAGGGGAGGUAGGUAUCCUAGUUGUCAGAGUGUAGGGGCGGCAGGUAUCCUAGCGGUUAGAGUGUAGGGGAGGUAGGUAUCCUAGUGGUUAGAGUGUAGGGGUGGCAGGUAUCCUAGUGGUUAGAGUGUAGGGGCGGCAGGUAUCCUAGCGGUUAGAGUGUAGGGGAGGCAGAUAGCCUAGUGGUUAGAGUGUAGGGGAGGCAGGUAGCCUAGUGGUUAGAGUGUAGGGGAGGCAGGUAGCCUAGUGGUUAGAGUGUAGGGGUGGCAGGUAGCCUAGUGGUUAGAGUGUAGGGGAGGCAGGUAGCCUAGUGGUUAGAGUGUAGGGGAGGCAGGUAGCCUAGUGGUUAGAGUGUAGGGGCGGCAGGUAUCUUAGCGGUUAGAUUGUAGGGGCGGCAGGUAGCCUAGUGGUUAGAGUGUAGGGGUGGCAGGUAGCCUAGUGGUUAGAGUGUAGGGGAGGCAGGUAGCCUAGUGGUUAGAGUGUAGGGGCGGCAGGUAUCCUAGCGGUUAGAGUGUAGGGGAGGUAGGUAUCCUAGUGGUUAGAGUGUAGGGGAGGUAGGUAUCCUAGUUGUUAGAGUGUAGGGGCGGCAGGUAUCCUAGUGGUUAGAGUGUAGGGGCGGCAGGUAUCCUAGUGGUUAGAGUGUAGGGGCGGCAGGUAUCCUAGUGGUUAGAGUGUAGGGGCGGCAGGUAUCCUAGCGGUUAGAGUGUAGGGGAGGUAGGUAUCCUAGUGGUUAGAGUGUAGGGGAGGUAGGUAUCCUAGUCGUUAGAGUGUAGGGGCGGCAGGUAUCCUAGUGGUUAGGGCGUUGGACUAGUAACUGAAAGGUUGUUAGAUCAAAUCCCUAGCUGACAAGGUAGAAAUCUGUCGUUCUGCCCCUGAACAAGGCAGUUAACCCACUGUUCCUAGGCAGUCAUUGAAAAUAAGAAUUUGUUCUUAACUGACUUGCCUAGCUUAAAUAAAGGUAAAAGAAAAAUUACAGUAGGCUACCACCAUCUCUUCAGAAAGGAACUUAGAAAUGUUUGUUUCCACCUUGUGGUAGGCUACUUUACGGUUCUAACUAAUUUCCUCUAAAACUACAACUACCAUCAUCACCGGAAUCCCCCAGAGUCCAAGCAGUCAUGCGGAUGGAAACAGAACCUUGCCAGAGAAGAAGAGGCCGAGCGAUAACUGGGCACAAAUGAUGUCUUCUCCAGUGGGUGGCGUUUUUUGUUUUUGUUGGUCACCAAGCUAGGAGUUUUUGUAUGGAGGUCAAUGAGAGAGUGUUUAAUUUUGUUAUUAAAAAAUGUAA